This 421-nucleotide ribosomal RNA is filed under the name uncultured bacterium. Its description in RNAcentral is "partial 16S ribosomal RNA". It matches the Rfam family "Bacterial small subunit ribosomal RNA", at positions 360 to 773 of the family's 1533-position model. The record is from RNAcentral.
AAUAUGGGACAAUGGGGGCAACCCUGAUCCAGCCAUGCCGCGUGUGUGAAGAAGGUCUUCGGAUUGUAAAGCACUUUAAGUUGGGAGGAAGGGCCCCAGGCUAAUACCCUGAAGUUUUCACGUUACCAACAGAAUAAGCACCGGCUAACCCUCUGCCAGCAGCCGCGGUAAUACAGAGGGUGCAAGCGGUAAUCGGAAUUACCGGGCGUAAGGCGCGCGUAGGUGGUUCAGUAAGAUGGGUGUGAAAUCCCCGGGCUUAACCUGGGAACUGCUUUCAUAACUGCUGGGCUAGAGUACGGUAGAGGGUAGUGGAAUUUCCUGUGUAGCGGUGAAAUGCGUAGAUAUAGGAAGGAACACCAGUGGCGAAGGCGACUACCUGGACUGAUACUGACACUGAGGUGCGAAAGCGUGGGGAGCAAAC